This 393-nucleotide ribosomal RNA is filed under the name uncultured bacterium. Its description in RNAcentral is "partial 16S ribosomal RNA". It matches the Rfam family "Bacterial small subunit ribosomal RNA", at positions 523 to 918 of the family's 1533-position model. The record is from RNAcentral.
AUACGGAGGAUCCGAGCGUUAUCCGGAUUUAUUGGGUUUAAAGGGUGCGCAGGCGGUUUGCUAAGCGGGAGGUGAAAUGCCGGCGCUCAACGUCGGAAGUGCCUCCCGAACUGGUGGACUUGAAUGACUCUGCCGUGGGAGGAAUGUGUAGUGUAGCGGUGAAAUGCUUAGAGAUUACACAGAACACCGAUUGCGAAGGCAUCUCACGAAGGGUUGAUUGACGCUGAGGCACGAAAGCGUGGGGAUCAAACAGGAUUAGAUACCCUGGUAGUCCACGCAGUAAACGAUGAUGGCUAACCGCUGGGCUUAUCAGUUCAGUGGCCAAGCGAAAGCAAUAAGCCAUCCACCUGGGGAGUACGACCGCAAGGUUGAAACUCAAAUGAAUUGACGGGG